RNAcentral lists this long non-coding RNA (242 nucleotides) under Lathyrus oleraceus (garden pea). Its description in RNAcentral is "Pisum sativum (pea) long non-coding RNA (PSAT_LNC037752)". Lineage: Eukaryota; Viridiplantae; Streptophyta; Magnoliopsida; Fabales; Fabaceae. The record is from RNAcentral.
AAAAAUAUGAAUGUGGAAAUGAUAAGCGUAAGAAAAAGAAAAUAAUUAAGAGUUAAUUCUAGUACAGGUAGCACUUCUUGUGCUUAUUUUCUUAAUGGAUUUGGUUUUUCAAAGAAGAAAAACUUUUUAAAAGGUACACAAGCGUUUUCAAUAAAAACAUUGUCCAUGAAACAAAAGAUUCAUGGUUUCCUAUAUUUUUUCUAGGAAAGACAUCUUAGGAACAACAAACACAUGGCUUGUCC